Molecule: small RNA, 173 nt
Filed under: pig gut metagenome
Description: Bacteroidales-1 6S-Bacteroidales RNA suggested
Rfam family: Bacteroidales-1 6S-Bacteroidales RNA suggested
Source: RNAcentral
AGUAGAUCGGGAUACUCUUCAAUUUUUUUAUGAAAUGCCGAGUCGGCAUUCAUAUUAAUGGCGGGCCUCACCCUACUUGGUGUUUCUACGGAAACCGGAGGAUUACAAAGAUAUGGAUGCUCUCAAAUCUUGUAUUUAUCGGAGUUUCAUCACAUCCUUUGGUGUGGUUUUUU